This is a long non-coding RNA of Equus caballus (horse), 1642 nucleotides long. Lineage: Eukaryota; Metazoa; Chordata; Mammalia; Perissodactyla; Equidae. The record is from Ensembl.
GAUGAAAUCCCCUAGUUAGGGGAUGUAGAUAGAAUUGAAAAGAUCUAAGGUCUGGGCUCACAGGCACUCCAGUGUUUAGAGGUGAGAGAUUGAGAGGUGAGGAAAAACACUCUUGAGGAGAUUUACUAUAAAAAGUGACAGAAAAAUGAGCUCCAGUGGUGGCUGAAAGGUGCGGUGGGGUCAACUGAAGUCUUCUCUUUGUUUAAUUGGGAAAAGUAACAUCAUUUGUGUGAACUGAUGGGACUGAUCUAAAAAGGAGGGAGGAGAGAGAAGGGUGAAGACAGAGGGAAACGCUGAAGUGAUGUCUUUAGUAGGCAAGAAAAGAGGAUUUAGAAGAUAAAGUAGAGAUUUGCCUUAGAUAGGAACUUAAUUAAUUCAUCAUAAUAAUAGUAGGAGCAUAUGGACAUAAUAAUAAUAAUAGCUGAGCAUCUGGGCAUCAUUAGAGAUAAGUGAGUAAAUGUGGUGUGGGGGCCUGUGGAAGUGCUCUUUGGUGAGGUCAUUUUUCAGACAAGGUUUUCCUGAGGUGGCAAGUAUCUAAUUAAGGAAGUGCUCCCAGGAGAAAGCUUUUGGGAAUUGGGAACUGAAGACCGACCGAGAAGAAGCAAAUGCUGGCAACGGUCCCAAGAGUAGCUUCAGGAUGAUCCCAGAGGGAAAUCCUGGAGGGUUUGACUAUGAAUAGCUCAGUCUUACUGGAGGAUCUCAAUCUUGCUGGAGGGUCUCAAUUCUACUGGAAAGCUUCAGAGAAAACAGGUGAAAUUCAGAUUUGUCCUUUCAGAGGAUAGGGGAGAAGAAACUUAUGUUGACCAGUCACAGAUCCCAUUGCCUGAGGGACUCCUGGAGUCUAUCGCUGAAUAGCUCUCCGGCUUCCUGCCUGGAGAAAACUCUUCUUUGAAAGGACUAAUGUGAUUAGCUCAGGCCCACCCAAAUGAUCUACUAUAAGGCCAAUUGAUUUGAAGCCUUAAUUAUAUCUGCAAAAUCCCUUUUGAUCUGUAACAUAUCCUAAUCACAGGAGUGAAAUUCAUCGUAUUCAAAAAUGGGGAUUAUUCAAGGCAUGUUCACCGGGAAGCAGUAAAUUCUGAGGGUUAUCACAUGGCUAUCUCAAAUCCAUUGUAUAAGAAAGUAUAAUGCUUUGAAUUGUCAUAAGUAUGUAGAGAGUGUUUGGAAAUAUGCAUAAUUUUCUGUGUAAAUCAUUAAAACUAUUGAGUCAAAACAUAUUUCUUAUUUUGAAAUGGUAAAAACAAAUUAACUGAGUUUCUCUAAAGGCAUAAAACACAGGAGUAUCAGAAGAGAAAUUAAAUUUAAAAUUAUGACAAAUAUAGAUUAAUAUAUCAGAUCAAUAAAGCAAUUUACUUGGAAACCUCGCAAAAGUAUAUUCUAUCAUGCUAAGAGCAAUCAGAAUGUAAAGAAUUCAGAUCAAAGAAAAAAUAAACACAUUUUUAAAGAUUUUAGAAACUGUUUAAAAGAAUUCAUGAAUAUGAAAGAUCAACAGAGGCAAACACAUUCCAUGUCAUUAAAAAACAGUUUAAAGGAUUACAGGGACUCUUAAGGUUUAAAGACACACCUUCAAAGCGUUUGGUGAAUAUUCUAAAUGCUACAGGCAAACCGAAUUUACUCCAUUCAAUAAAAAGGAGCGGAGUUCUAU